UUUAUGAUAGUGGUCGUGAGCCUCUGGUUAGAAACAAAUAUUGUAAUAAUUAAGUUGCACCUCUAUGGGGACUAAAUAAAGUAUGUUCAGAGAUGAGCACGCAUGAAAGGCGGCCUUCUGAACAUAUGGUCUAACCUCUAGCAGCGACCAAGCCUGAUUCGGUUGUGAUCGUGGGCCCGCAUGAUUAUUAAAUAUUAAUAAACGGCCGGUGCGUGAGUCCAAAGCGACAUGAGUAGCCGAAUGAACGGAUGCAAUAACAAGUAGGGCUAAACAAGAAUAACCAAACAUCCACCCAAAUUCUGUAACUGUUAAAAGUAAUCAUCAAUCCAAUUAAUAUUAACAUUAUCUUGGAGUCAGAUAAUAAUACAAAAUUGCAUAAAUGCCAAAACGUCACUUGCAAGCGCCGGAAAAGACUGAACGCGCUAUUACCCUUCGUUUGGAUUCCGUCGUUGGGCCAAACGGAUGGAUGGGGCCACAUUUUUGCCCCUUACAAAGUGGUGAUUCCCGAGACGUGAUAUUCAACCAGUGAGAAACCUCAUCAAAAUGCGAUUGAUGCGAUCCCUGGAGAAUAAGAGUCUUUUCAUGGAGCUAAAGGUUUGAACUUCUUCUAUUUCUUCAGCUGAUGUGGUUGAAAGCUGUAAAUCCUGGCCAGAGAUGUCUGGCCACACCAGACAAGACAGCAAACCCUGCAGAAAAGCAAUCUAGAAAACGGAGGAUGGGUGUGAAGACAUUCAAAGGCCAUUUUACACCUCACAACACUAUACCAUCAUGAAUAGACAUGGCCUCAAAAUUUGCAACACUAAUUGUUAGAGAUAAAAUCCACCCAUCUUCCAGACAAAAACUGACUGUACAGCACACACAUUGACUAAAACAAUCUCGUAACACAUCUGGUAUAGACGUAAAGACUAUCCAGACAUAAACACUACACACCACACAACAUAUUCCAAACUUAACACUACAUUUAAAAUCAACAUUCUCCUGUUACACAAACAGGGACAUCUAAUCCAACACAAAUUCUAAGUGAUAUCAUUCACACCCAUAUUAGCAAAACUACAACAUUCAUAAGAAACUUACUUGGCAAAGUCACACUUUGAUGAUUAUGUUUCUAAUUGCAAUAACAAACUUACUGUCUAAAUCUCAAAUCAAUAAUCUGACUGUUGUUGUCAUAAGUGAGGACCAGUUGGCGCCCUGAUCCUCAAUUUAUCACUAAAUAACAGCACAAACAAUUUUCAAGAAUCAAUCAAACCAUUUACAUCUCAACUCCCAAUAUCAAAUGUGACUUAGCCAACAUAUCACAUACACACCUAUAUAAGUAUUCACAUAUCUCUACACUCGUACACCUACUUAUACAUGCAAACACAUUGAAAUCUGAGAUUCUAAAUCUUCAAGUCUAUGGACUACACAUACUCAUAAACACGCCUAUACACACAAGCACAUACAUAUACACAUACAUAUAUACAUAGGCACAUACCUGCACACAUAGAAAUCUAACAUGAGAUUCUGAAUCUUCAAUUGUGCUCAUGGACUCAACAUGUCCUGAACAUAUUCUUAAAAUAAUCUUAGGCCUACAAGGUGCUUAUACUAAGAGAAUUCAGAAUUCCCUCGAAACAUUCAUUAUAGAUGUGUGUAUGGAACGAUUACACAAUUAUGCGCCUAUUAUUAUUAUUAUUAUUAUUAUUAUUAUUAUUAUUAUUAUUAUAUAUGGGCUACCAUGCCCAUACCUGAAUCUAUUAUAGCAAUAUUUUACUAUCACGUUAAUUGAUACACCCUAUAGUAUGCAUAACCAAAAUUUUAUUUUAACACCUUCUGGUUUUUUAUUUUAUUUUUUAUUUUCACAUGACCCAAUAUGCAUACCUGAAUGUUAUUUAACACUUUCUGGUUUUUAUUUUUCCACAUGACCCAAUACAUGCAUACCUGAAUGUUAAUACCUGAAGGUUAUUUUUACAUUUUCUGGGUUUUAUUUUUAUACAAUCUAUAAUAUGCAUACCUGAAGAUCAUUUGAACAAUUUCUGGGUUUUGUUUCCAUAUAAUCUAUAAUAUGCAUACUUGAAGGUUAUUUGCAUACUUGAAGGUUAUUUUAACACUUUCUUGGUUUUAUUUUCAUACAAUCUGUAACAUGCAUACCUCAAGGUUAUUUUAACAGUUCAUUUUCUGGGUUUUAUUUUUAUAAUAUGCAUACCUCAAUGUGAUGUUUUUAUUGCUUUAACCUGAUCUUUUGCAUCCUCUCCUUUAAUAUCCAGAGACCAAGUACCUUUGAAUUCAGCUAAACUCCAAGUACAACAGUGGGAAAGAAUGAUGGUAAUGUUAUAGAUCAGAGGUAUUCGACCCUAUCGUACCACUUGCCCAUUUUCACAUCAAGUUAUCAUGUGUAAUGUUUUAUUUUAUUUUAUUUAUGGUUUGCCCUAACUAUCAUGUUAUAGUGUUACCAAGCCUAUUGAUAUUGGUCAGUGUUCAAUCAAUGAAUGGUCCUUAAGGUGUGCAGGUGUUUCACACAGUGAUGUAUUGUCAAUGUCAAUACCCCCACCCGACGACGUCUGAAUUCACCGUUCAGAGGUGACAACUUUCUUCAAAGAGACAGAACGUCUAAGAACAGGUGGUUUCCGUGGAAGAAUGGGACAUUCAUUGAACGAAGCACACAGGCCUUGGUUGACACACUGAACUUUGAUUGGACACCACCGAGAUGUAUGUUGAUCUCAUCGGGACUGUUAUGUCUCUCCGACUUGAUCAAAAUGGGCGGAGCUGUAAGAGCUGAAUGGUGGUGCCAAACCCUGACAAAAGGUAUUUCCUGAAGCCAGCAACAAAUGGCUGAAUCCACAGGAAACCGCUUCCUAAUUCCUUGUUGAAUUAUCAUCUGAAACCCUCCACAAAGAAUUCACAUCUACCCCGAAACCUUCCUCAAAGAAUUCACAUCUACCCCCCCAAGACAGUUACCCCAUGGUGUGGGACAGAGUCACACCCGACCACACUUUCUUGUCCCCCUUUCCUCAUGUUUUAUAAAAGCAAUACAUUCUACAUGUACAAAGAAUGUGAAACUGGUUUUGUUUGGUGUUAUAUGAAGUGUUUUAAUGCAAGUGGUACAUUUGGGUUUGUUAAUAUGACAACAGGAUUCAAUGUUAAUCUGUGACAAUAAAUAAGUAAACUUAACCUAAUGUUGGGAGACAACUCCUAACUUAGACAUGUUGACCAAUCACCCACUGUAUGUAUAUUAGGCUACACCCCUGAUUUUACAACAACCAAUCAAUACCAAACUCCUAUAUGCUUUGUUCUCUGGUUAUUUAAGGAGAUGUGUAGAAGACUUAGGCGGGACUUUCAAUAUCUAGAAAUGCACCCCCAUGACGCUGUAUCUUUGAUACAGCAUCAUGUUUCUUUUUAUUUUAUUUUGAGGAAUCUGUAACCAGAUCUUCAUCUCCUUACCAGGUAUGCAAUGGUUUUUCGUUGUAUUGUUUUGUAUUUGAAUUGGAUAUAUUAAUUGGCUUUGAAUUAUGUUUUUCCUACCUGGUUAAUAAAUUGUUAUGUUUGGAUUUA
Non-coding RNA from Misgurnus anguillicaudatus (oriental weatherfish), 3525 nucleotides. NCBI's taxonomy places the organism in Eukaryota, Metazoa, Chordata, Actinopteri, Cypriniformes, Cobitidae. The record is from RefSeq and is a predicted model, not a curated record.